Molecule: microRNA precursor, 61 nt
Filed under: Ptychodera flava
Lineage: Eukaryota; Metazoa; Hemichordata; Enteropneusta; Ptychoderidae
Description: Pfl-Mir-2008_pre stem-loop
Source: RNAcentral
CGUAUUAACACUGAGGUUGAUGUUCGAUUUGUGAUACCAUCAGCCUCGCUGUCAAUACGGC